GCCGUGGUAGCAUAAUGGUCAGUGCAUUCGCCCGGAUUGCGAAGGGUGCGGGUUCGAGUCCCGUCCGCUGCC
This is a transfer RNA of Oryza sativa Indica Group (long-grained rice), 72 nucleotides long. It matches the Rfam family "tRNA". Rfam says of the family: Transfer RNA (tRNA) molecules are approximately 80 nucleotides in length. Their secondary structure includes four short double-helical elements and three loops (D, anti-codon, and T loops). NCBI's taxonomy places the organism in Eukaryota, Viridiplantae, Streptophyta, Magnoliopsida, Poales, Poaceae. The record is from Rfam.